This is a long non-coding RNA of Scophthalmus maximus (turbot), 492 nucleotides long. RefSeq lists it as uncharacterized. Lineage: Eukaryota; Metazoa; Chordata; Actinopteri; Pleuronectiformes; Scophthalmidae. The record is from RefSeq and is a predicted model, not a curated record. The transcript is spliced from 4 exons.
CAUGGUUCCCCGCCAGAUUCAAAUCAGAACGGUGAAGUGGCAUGUAUUUGGACAACCAAUGAAACUGUGUGAUUAUGGAAAAUUUCUAAAUUUUCUUAUACAUAACUUUUCAAUUGAAAAUGGUCACAAAAAGAAACCGAGGUACAUCUGCACACAAUCAGAGAAAAUCUGACCAUAUUUAAUCCCCUUGACCUUGGCAAAAUGUUGACAAACUCACUGCCUGUCACACACAAGAGAUGGUUCCCCGACGUGUCCAGAUGUUUAGCUGAUAGAUAUCUGGAAAGGUUGGCGAGGCCUCAACCUCCGUCCCAAGCCCCACCCCCUCAACACAUGAACGCACACCGCUGCCUCAGUCGGAGUCUGACUGAGGAGGAGGAAGACACGAGCGGAGCACAACAUGCUAACUGACUGCUCGUGGCUCAUUCACAAGUCAGAACUCGAGGACUGAGCUUGGAGCAGUGACGUGACACAAGCCUGCUGCUUCACUUACUA